UGGGUUGUGGCUCAGUGGUAGAGCGCUUGCCUUGCACACAUGAGGCACUGGGUUCAAUCCCCAGCACUACAU
RNAcentral lists this transfer RNA (72 nucleotides) under Marmota marmota marmota (Alpine marmot). It matches the Rfam family "tRNA". Rfam says of the family: Transfer RNA (tRNA) molecules are approximately 80 nucleotides in length. The record is from Rfam by way of RNAcentral. RNAcentral also lists the same sequence under 1 other name. Lineage: Eukaryota; Metazoa; Chordata; Mammalia; Rodentia; Sciuridae.